Molecule: long non-coding RNA, 1932 nt
Organism: Piliocolobus tephrosceles (Ugandan red Colobus)
Lineage: Eukaryota; Metazoa; Chordata; Mammalia; Primates; Cercopithecidae
Exons: 2
Source: RefSeq, a predicted model, not a curated record
AGGAAGUAAGUGAACGCAGGGGGAAGGGGAGAGGAAGAAGAAAGUGAUGGUACAAAAAUAGCGUGUGUGUAGGAAGGACUUCGGUGCCGCCUGGAAAAGAGGAGCGGGGAGGAGAGGGAGCGAGAAGGGGGCUGUGGCGGGGAACCAGAGGGGAAGGGCCAGGGCCUUCCCAGGGAGGUGGGAGCCCCCUGGCCAGGUGUCUCGGUGGUGGAGGGCAGAUUGACGGGGUGGGGAGGCCCAGGCCGGGGCGUGUGUGGGAGAGCGGGUCCUGAAGGCCUGGGUUCCAGGAGAAGGACAGGCCCGGAAGAAGAUGAGGGGUGGGAGCCGGGGCCAGAGGCUUGGAGUUGGAGAGGACAGAAUCUCGGUUUUCCUGGAGGGAACGCCGUUCCUGUAGCAGCCAGAGGGCACAAUCUGUCAGCACAUCCUGCCUGCUGGGCCUUCUCAUCACAACCAGAGCCAAACCACUUCUCAGCACCUCCGCUGCUUCCGCCCUCGUCUGAGCCUCCACCGCUCUCACCUGGGCGCCCUAUUUCCACCUUGUGCCUUCUGUCGAUUCCUCGACUCAGCAGCCUGAGGAAUCCUUGCACAGAAGUCAGAUCACAUUCCUUCCCUGUUGUCAAGGGAAGAAGACAAAUGGGCACGAGGAGGAGAGGAUCAGGGGCUUGGAAGCCAAGAUUUUGCCGAUUUGACUUAUGCAACUUGGGCAAAACAAAAUGUUGAGCCUCAGUCUUUUCAUCUGUGAAAUGGGGAUAACAAACUCUGAUAUGAUGGGGUCAAUAGUGACAAAGAAGUGAAAGCAGCCAUGAUAGCAUGGCAGGGAGUUUGGCCGUUGCAGGGGGGUGGAUGACAUGCUUGUGUGUUCUAGGCCCUUUGAAAUACGUUAUCUGAAGCCUCAGCAACUCCACGGGGUUCCCAGAGGUGAGGAAACAUGCCCAGAGACAGAACACGACUUCACCAGGGCCACCCUGUGGGGCAUGCUGGCACCUGCACAGCCCAACUUCACCUGGUUCCAGCCCUGCCCGCGCUCUGCUCCCCACUUCCCGUAACCCUGGGCUGGCGUCAGCAGGCAGGACUGCCAGGAGGCUGGAGCUGCCAACGACCUAUUUUUCUGGGCAAGAAGAGCCAUUUGGAGUUAGAGGUCUCAGCUGUGGAGCCAGAACAAUAAAAAUAAAAACAGCGUGGACUCCUGGGCAGCCUGGACCAGGGAACCAACUGCCCCAAGAGUUGCUGCUCACCAGGCUGAAGAACAAGUGGGGUGGGGGGAUGGGAGAUGGGAGUGAUCUUACUGAGCCCCUGCUGUGUCCUCUGGCCCUUGCAGAGUAAGGGUAAUCUCCAAGGCUCACAACAGCCCCUUUCUCUGGGUUGCCAGACCAGUCAGGAUUUGAACUCAGUUUUCCAAACAAUUCCCAUCUGUUCGGCAUCCACUAUGCUUUACAGACUGUGACAUUCAUACCACACCUGGGAGGGUGAGCUAAUCAUUCCCUCAUUUUACAAAUGAGGCAGCUCUGCUCACACGCCACCUCCUUGAGAGGUCUUGCCAGACCACCCUGUUAAAGUAGUCACCCCCACCCCUGCCCAAUAUGCCCUACCCUCUUCCCUCCUUUAUUUUAUCUUCAUAGCAUGCAUCAUGACCUGCUAAUAUUGUGUGUCUCCACUGCAUAUUUUCUGUCUCCCUAACUAGUUCCAGGUCAGUUUAUCCUAGUGGCUUACACACUUCAGUGGUCUCUCAGACUAGCCCCGUAGGGCAAGUUGUUUUGAUGAUCUGUGCUUCCUUUGGGGUAAUGAUAGGACCUUGCCUGAAAGGGUUCUUGUGAGGGUUAAAUGAGUUAACAUAGGUUAAGCGUUGGCCAGUGCCAUUGUUUUGUCUUAGAGCUGCAGGCCCAGGCCCUUCAACAGUAAACAGUAGGUUGUCAAUAAAUAUGUAUUAAAUUU